Molecule: ribosomal RNA, 273 nt
Filed under: Vibrio alginolyticus
Lineage: Bacteria; Pseudomonadati; Pseudomonadota; Gammaproteobacteria; Vibrionales; Vibrionaceae
Description: partial 16S ribosomal RNA
Rfam family: Bacterial small subunit ribosomal RNA
Source: RNAcentral
AAAUUGAAGAGUUUGAUCAUGGCUCAGAUUGAACGCUGGCGGCAGGCCUAACACAUGCAAGUCGAGCGGAAACGAGUUAUCUGAACCUUCGGGGAACGGUAACGGCGUCGAGCGGCGGACGGGUGAGUAAUGCCUAGGAAAUUGCCCUGAUGUGGGGGAUAACCAUUGGAAACGAUGGCUAAUACCGCAUAACGCCUACGGGCCAAAGAGGGGGACCUUCGGGCCUCUCGCGUCAGGAUAUGCCUAGGUGGGAUUAGCUAGUUGGUGAGGUAA